CCAUCCACAUGGUUGUGGCCUUUUCGUGGCUGGAUGGAUAAGUAACCUCGGCGAAUACCCCAGGUGAAACUAACAACAAC
RNAcentral lists this non-coding RNA (80 nucleotides) under unclassified sequences. The record is from RNAcentral.